Molecule: transfer RNA, 84 nt
Filed under: Brassica carinata (Ethiopian mustard)
Lineage: Eukaryota; Viridiplantae; Streptophyta; Magnoliopsida; Brassicales; Brassicaceae
Description: tRNA-Leu
Rfam family: tRNA
About the family: Transfer RNA (tRNA) molecules are approximately 80 nucleotides in length. Their secondary structure includes four short double-helical elements and three loops (D, anti-codon, and T loops).
Source: RNAcentral
GGGGAUAUGGCGGAAUUGGUAGACGCUACGGACUAAAAUCCGUUGACUUUUAAAAUCGUGAGGGUUCAAGUCCCUCUAUCCCCA